RNAcentral lists this ribosomal RNA (351 nucleotides) under uncultured bacterium. RNAcentral's name for it is "bacterial SSU rRNA". It matches the Rfam family "Bacterial small subunit ribosomal RNA", at positions 29 to 403 of the family's 1533-position model. The record is from RNAcentral.
AACGAACGCUGGCGGCAGGCCUAACACAUGCAAGUCGAGCGCCCCGCAAGGGGAGCGGCGCACGGGUGAGUAACGCGUGGGAAUAUGCCCUGGGGCUGGGGAUACCGGCGGGAAACUGCCGCUAAUACCCGGUACGCCAUGAGUGGGAAAGGAGCAAUCCGCCCUGGGAGUAGCCCGCGUUGGAUUAGCUAGUUGGUGUGGUAAGAGCGCACCAAGGCGACGAUCCAUAGCUGGUCUGAGAGGAUGAUCAGCCACACUGGGACUGAGACACGGCCCAGACUCCUACGGGAGGCAGCAGUGGGGAAUAUUGGACAAUGGGGCGGAACCCUACGAUCACGCCACUGCCGCCGU